UAAUAAAAAAUAUAUAUUUUUAAACAGAGAGGAACCGAAGAUGCUAGUUUAAACCGAAGAUAAGACACAAAAUGCUAGAGUAACUCAGCGGGUCAGGCAGCAUCUGUGGGGAACAUGGAUAGGUGACGUUUCACAGAGUGCUGGAGUAACUCAGCGGGUCAGGCAGCAUCUUUGGAGAACAUGGAUAGGUGACGUUUCACAGAGUGCUGGAGUAACUCAGCGGGUCAGGCAGCAUCUGUGGAGAAAAUGGAUAGGUGACGUUUCACAGAGUGCUGGAGUAACUCAGCGGGUGCAGCAGCAUCUAUGGAGCUAAGGAAAUAGGUAACGUUUCCAGAAGGGUUUCGGCCCGAAACGUUGCCUAUUUCCUUAGCUCCAUAGAUGCUGCUGCACCAUAACUCAGUGGGUCAGGCAGCAUCUGUGGAGAACAUGGAUAGGUGACGUUUCACAGAGUGCUGGAGUAACUCAGCGGGUCAGGCAGCAUCUGUGGAGAACAUGGAUAGGUGACGUUUCUCAGAGUGCUGGAGUAACUCAGUGGGUCAGGCAGCAUCUGUGGAGAACAUGGAUAGGUGACGUUUCACAGAGUGCUGGAGUAACUCAGCGGGACAGGCAGCAGCGCUGGAGGGAAGGAAUGGGUGGACGUUCCGGGUCAAGGCCCUUCUUCCAGCCGGGCUAUCUCGUCGCGGACACUGGGGCCUGCUGCUGUUUGCGAAUCUUGUUGAACAGCUCCAUGUACUGGAUGGCGGUGUCCGUGGGGGUGUAGAUGCCGUCGUGCUUUGUGGAGAACA
Leucoraja erinaceus (little skate) is the source of this 785-nucleotide long non-coding RNA. RefSeq lists it as uncharacterized. The record is from RefSeq and is a predicted model, not a curated record. The transcript has 2 exons. Lineage: Eukaryota; Metazoa; Chordata; Chondrichthyes; Rajiformes; Rajidae.